This 322-nucleotide long non-coding RNA is filed under the name Mytilus galloprovincialis (Mediterranean mussel). The record is from RNAcentral. Lineage: Eukaryota; Metazoa; Mollusca; Bivalvia; Mytilida; Mytilidae.
CCUGGUGUAGUGAUGUUUAUUUCUGGCAUUUUUGUGUAUGGGCUUGGACCCUUAUCAGGAAUAUUAGAUGGUGGUUCCUUAGUAAAUACUGACUGAAAUUGUUGGUUAAGAAUGUCUGCUUUUUCAGUAGUGUCUGUAACAAGUACACCUUCUUUUUUCAGAGGUGCAAUUCCUGUAUUAUCAUUUCUAGUGCUUUUGAUGAACUGAAAUAGCUUUUUGGUUUUGUGUUUGUGGACUGAUGUUGGUCCGGUUCAUUGAUUGGUAAAUCACAAAUAAUUUGUUCUAUGUAGUUCCAGUAUGCCUUCCUUUGUUCUUUUUGAAC